RNAcentral lists this ribosomal RNA (301 nucleotides) under uncultured bacterium. RNAcentral's name for it is "partial 16S ribosomal RNA". It matches the Rfam family "Bacterial small subunit ribosomal RNA", at positions 509 to 807 of the family's 1533-position model. The record is from RNAcentral.
CAGCCGCCACGGUAAUACGUAGGGUGCAAGCGUUAAUCGGAAUUACUGGGCGUAAAGCGUGCGCAGGCGGUUUGUUAAGACAGAUGUGAAAUCCCCGGGCUCAACCUGGGAACUGCAUUUGUGACUGGCAAGCUAGAGUCUGGCAGAGGGGGGUGGAAUUCCGCGUGUAGCAGUGAAAUGCGUAGAUAUGCGGAGGAACACCGAUGGCGAAGGCAGCCCCCUGGGCCAACACUGACGCUCAUGCACGAAAGCGUGGGGAGCAAACAGGAUUAGAUACCCCGGUAGUCCCUGUCUCUUAUAC